GCUAACACAAAAUAUUUUCAUGAUAUUAUUGACUGGUUGUAUAUAUGUUUAUCAGAAAUAUUUUCACAAAAAUAUUUUAAAGACAUUUUGUUUACAUCAGAAAUUAGGUGUGAAUGAUAUUUUACUAAUAACAUUUCAUCCCAAUGUUUGAUUGCAAAUAUAAAAACAUUUUUUGUAAAUAUUUUUUUAUAAUAAAUAAAUAAAUAUUUUUUGCUGAUGUUUUUUAAACGUUUAAAAGACAGUUUUAUAAAUGAGAACAGUUUUAUGUCGAAGAAAUAUUUCUUUACAAUAUUAAAACAAUAUCUGAUGGACAUUUUUAUAUUAUAAUUAUAAUAUAUAUUUGUAAGAUGUGUAAAAGAAAUGUUUAUAAAACAUUUUUGAUUAAUAUCUGCGUUAAGCAUAGGUUUGAUGUAUAAUAAAAUAUCUUUUUGAUGUAACAUCUAAAUAAUUUUCUUGUCCUAAUUAAAAAUAUAAGCUGGUAAUAUCUAAUGAAUAUUUAAAUAACGUCUUAACAAAAUAUUUUUUCGAUUUUAUUUAGAAAAUAUUAGUUGAAGACCCUUUUAUAAACAUUUUAACAUUAUAUGUCUUCUAGAUAUUUGUAAGAUGUAUGACAGAAAUGUUUGUCAAAUGUUUGUUAGUAAUAUUUGAGUGAAGCAAGUGUUAAAUAUUUUUUAGAUAUCACAUUAACAUGAAUGACUCCUCAUUUUUAUAGAAGAGCUUUAAUAAUUCCAAAGAGGUUAUAUGAGAUAAUCUCCUUGAUAAUUUUAACCUUUGAGGAACAUUUCAAUCGUGUAUUAUUAUAACUUUUUUCGUUCAACUUUAAUUGAUGAAACAUAAUAAACAAAUAUAUACAGAGUGAUAUUUGAUACAACCAUUCUGUUCAUCAAACACAUUCUGAUAAGGUUAACCAGAUGUUGGACACAUUUCAAAGAUAGUUGCUAUGGUAAUUAAGAUUAUAGAAAAUCUAAAUGUAAUGGGAUGGUCAUUUUUGAGGUUAUUUCCUGUCGUCUAUUUGUAACUUCCGAAAGCAGUGAAAACAAAGAAAACUAAAAGAGAAAAUCACAGUUCAAAGAGAAAGAAACACAUCUGGUAUUUGAGAACUACAGAAGACAAAUUAAAGCAGAGUGCAAAAGGAAUUUUAAUAAUCAUUGAAAAUAUUCUGGCUUCAAAAUGCAUGGAAAUGGAGAUGGGACAAAAUGCAUUCUACCAUUUGAUAGCCCAGAAUGAAUUACUUUAAAAGGCUAACAAGAAGAGGAGGCUCGCAGUAGAAGAUGCAGACUCUGAAUAAUUAAUAAAAUGUUAAAAUGCUA
Long non-coding RNA from Mytilus californianus (California mussel), 1310 nucleotides. RefSeq lists it as uncharacterized. The transcript has 3 exons. The record is from RefSeq and is a predicted model, not a curated record. NCBI's taxonomy places the organism in Eukaryota, Metazoa, Mollusca, Bivalvia, Mytilida, Mytilidae.